AUGGCUCAUCCACUCAACUUCUUCUUCCUCCUGUUCGUCUCCGCUGUUGUAUCUGUGCGUGGUGCUGGCCUUGGGCUUGUUUUGCCGGUGCCUAUCGGUAAGAGGUACAUCGUCGGCGGGGCGGACGGGUGGCACGUGCCACCACGGGAGAACAAGGACCUGUACUUGAAGUGGGCCUCCACCAUUGAGUUCUUCGUUGAGGACUCCAUUGAAUUCAUGUACAAGAACGACUCAGUCGGAAAGGUGAACAAGUACGCGUACUACCACUGCAACUGGACGACACCGACCUCCGCACUGCCCGCCAAGGAUGGCAGCUCACUCUUCCUCCUCGACGCCCCCGGCAUCGCGUACUUCGCCAGCGCCGACAUCAAACAUUGCAAGAAGGGCCAGCGCCUCAUGCUCAACGUCAAAGGGCAGGCCAACCCUGCUCCGUCAGCUGAUAUUUCAAGCCCUCCUGCCCCUGUGUCGCCCACACCUGCACCGGGACCGGCGGUGCUUGGAGAGCCGGUAAUGGACAGCGGUGCCACAACACUGGCCUCGUCGGUCUAG
Molecule: ribosomal RNA, 549 nt
Filed under: Triticum aestivum (bread wheat)
Lineage: Eukaryota; Viridiplantae; Streptophyta; Magnoliopsida; Poales; Poaceae
Description: partial small subunit ribosomal RNA
Source: RNAcentral